Molecule: ribosomal RNA, 253 nt
Filed under: uncultured bacterium
Lineage: Bacteria
Description: partial 16S ribosomal RNA
Rfam family: Bacterial small subunit ribosomal RNA
Source: RNAcentral
UACGGAAGGGGCGAGCGUUGUUCGGAAUCAUUGGGCGUAAAGCGCGCGCAGGCGGCUCGGAAAGUCGGAUGUGAAAACUCGGGGCUCAACCCCGGGCGUGCAUCCGAUACUGCCGGGCUUGAGGCAGGUAGGGGAGAUCGGAAUUCCUGGUGUAGCGGUGAAAUGUGUAGAGAUCGGGAGGAACACCGGUGGCGAAGGCGGGUCUCUGGGCAUCUCCUGACGCUGAGGCGCGAAAGCGUGGGGAGCAAACGGG